GCAAGAUACCACGGGCGCACGGCGGAUGCCUUGGCACAGGGAGCCGAUGAAGGACGCGGCAAGCUGCGAUAAUCCCCGGCGAGGAGCACACAUCCUUCGACCCGGGGGUCUCCGAAUGGGCGAACCCAUGCACAGCAGUGUGCAUAUCCCCGGCCUGAACACAUAGGGCCGGGGAGGACAACCCGGGGAACUGAAACAUCUAAGUACCCGGAGGAGAGGAAAUCAAUCUCGAGACUCCCCGAGUAGCGGCGAGCGAAAGGGGACCGAUGGCCAAACCGUCGAGCGGGCAUACCCGGCAGGGGUUCCGCCGACGGGGUUGCAGGGCCGCGCAUCCGGGGGCUGCCGCCCCCGGGCGCAGGUCCGGCUGGGGAGCGGAACGGCAUGGGAGGGCCGGCCGCAGCGGGUGACAGCCCCGUACGCGAACCCAGACCGGACGGCGCGACGCGGUCCCUGAGUAGGGCCGGGCACGUGAAACCCGGUCCGAACCUGGGUGGACCACCAUCCAAGCCUGAGUACUACCCUGUGACCGAUAGCGCACCAGUACCGUGAGGGAAAGGUGAAAAGCACCCCGGGAGGGGAGUGAAACAGUACCUGAAACCGUGCGCCCACGAGCAGUCGGAGCACCUUUAUGGUGUGACGGCGUGCCUUUUGUAGAAUGAGCCAGCGAGUCGCUGGCGCGGGGCGAGGUUAACCGAAAGGGAGCCGAAGCGAAAGCGAGCCUUAACAGGGCGACUUGAGUCCCGCGCCGCGGACGCGAAGCCGGGUGAGCUAUCCGUGGGCAGGCUGAAGCGGGGGUAAGACCCCGUGGAGGGCCGAACGCACGUCGGUUGAAAACGGCGGCGAUGACCUGCGGAUAGGGGUGAAAGGCCAAUCAAACCCGGAGAUAUCUCGUUCUCCCCGAAAUAGCUUUAGGGCUAGCGUCGCGCGUUCACCGCCGGAGGUAGAGCACCGGAUGGACGAGGGGGCUUCGCCGCCUACCGAAUCCAACCGAACUCCGAAUGCCGGCGGCCCAGAGCGCGGCAGUCAGAGCAUGUGGGCUAAGCUGUGUGCUCGAGAGGGAAACAGCCCGGACCGCCCGCUAAGGUCCCCAAGUUCCAGCCGAGUGGCAAAGGAUGUGCGUCCGCCCAGACAACCAGGAUGUUGGCUUAGAAGCAGCCAUCCAUUCAAAGAGUGCGUAACAGCUCACUGGUCGAGUGGACAUGCGCCGACAAUACACGGGGCUAAGCUGGACACCGAAGCGGCGGGAUUUUGAUUUUCAGAAUCGGUAGGGGAGCUUCCCAUGGGCGGAGAAGCCGGAGGGCGACCGACGGUGGAGCGCAUGGGAGUGAGAAUGCUGGCAUGAGUAGCGAGAGACGAGAGAGUAACUCGUCCGCCGUGAACCCGAGGUUUCCUGGGCAAGGCUAAUCCUCCCAGGGUCAGUCGGGGGCUAAGGCGAGGCCGGGAGGCGUAGCCGACGCGCAGCAGGCAGACAUUCCUGCACCGCGCACGCGGCGCUACGACCGACGGGGCGACGGAUGGGGGUGGCUCGGCGGGGUUCUGGACGUCCCCGUGAUGGAGCGCGGCCCGCGGACCAGGGAAAUCCGGUCCGCACGAGGGCGAGGCUCCGGACGAAGCGACUGAGCGAAGCGAGUGAGCCCGAGGUCCCUAGAAAAACCCCUAGGCAGGCGCGUGCGCGCCCGUACCGCAAACCGACACAGGUGGGUGGGUAGAACAUACCGAGGCGAUCGGGUCAACCAUGGUCAAGGAACUCGGCACAAUGGCCCCGUAACUUCGGGAGAAGGGGUGCCCGCGCGUACGUGAACGGACUUGCUCCGGGAGCGGAGGCGGGCCGCAGUGGAGAGGCCCAAGCGACUGUUUACCAAAAACACAGGACUCUGCAGAAGCCGCAAGGCGACGUAUAGGGUCUGACGCCUGCCCGGUGCCGGAAGGUCACGCGGAGGAGUUAGCGCAUCGCGCGAAGCCCCGAAGCCAAGCCCCGGUAAACGGCGGCCGUAACUAUAACGGUCCUAAGGUAGCGAAAUUCCUUGUCGGGU
RNAcentral lists this ribosomal RNA (2033 nucleotides) under human gut metagenome. Its description in RNAcentral is "bacterial LSU rRNA". It matches the Rfam family "Bacterial large subunit ribosomal RNA", at positions 1 to 1977 of the family's 2925-position model. The record is from RNAcentral.